Molecule: ribosomal RNA, 252 nt
Filed under: uncultured bacterium
Lineage: Bacteria
Description: partial 16S ribosomal RNA
Rfam family: Bacterial small subunit ribosomal RNA
Source: RNAcentral
GACGUAGGGCGCGAGCGUUGUCCGGAUUUAUUGGGCGUAAAGAGCUCGUAGGCGGUUUGUCGCGUCGGCUGUGAAAACCCGGGGCUCAACCCCGGGCCUGCAGUCGAUACGGGCAGGCUAGAGUCCGGCAGGGGAGACUGGAAUUCCUGGUGUAGCGGUGAAAUGCGCAGAUAUCAGAGGAACACCGGUGGCGAAGGCGGGUCUCUGGGCCGGAACUGACGCUGAGGAGCGAAAGCGUGGGGAGCGAACAGG